UACAGAGGGCGCGAGCGUUGUCCGGAAUCACUGGGCGUAAAGGGCGCGUAGGUGGCGGCAUAAGGCUGUGGUGAAAGUCUGGGGCUCAACUCCAGAUCGGCCGCGGCGACUGUGUCGCUUGGGCACCGUAGAGGCAGAUGGAAUUCCGGGUGUAGCGGUGGAAUGCGUAGAUAUCGGAAGGAACAUCAGUGGCGAAGGCGACUUCCUGGACCAAUACUGACGCUCAGGUGCGAAAGCGUGGGGAGCAAACAGG
Molecule: ribosomal RNA, 253 nt
Filed under: uncultured bacterium
Lineage: Bacteria
Description: partial 16S ribosomal RNA
Rfam family: Bacterial small subunit ribosomal RNA
Source: RNAcentral